ACACCGGCGCCCCGAGUGGUGUCCGCGAUUAUUGGGCCUAAAGUGUCCGUAGCCGGGGCCGCAAGUCCCUCGUGAAAUCCUCGGGCCUAACCCGAGGGCGGGCGAGGGAUACUGCGGCCCUAGGGGCCGGGAGGGGCCGGGGGUAUUCCCGGGGUAGGGGUGAAAUCCUGUAAUCCCGGGAGGACCACCUGUGGCGAAGGCGCCCGGCUGGAACGGGCCCGAUGGUGAGGGACGAAGGCCAGGGGAGCGAACCGGAUUAGAAACCCUAGUAGUCC
Molecule: ribosomal RNA, 275 nt
Filed under: uncultured bacterium
Lineage: Bacteria
Description: partial 16S ribosomal RNA
Rfam family: Archaeal small subunit ribosomal RNA
Source: RNAcentral